Vicia faba (fava bean) is the source of this 331-nucleotide non-coding RNA. NCBI's taxonomy places the organism in Eukaryota, Viridiplantae, Streptophyta, Magnoliopsida, Fabales, Fabaceae. The record is from the annotation of a GenBank genome assembly.
GCUUAUCCCAGUAUCUGGCUUCUGUGAAGAUGGUAGGUUAUUUGAAGGUAAAUUUAUUUUUUGUAAUGAUAACUUAAGGGUUGAUUUCACAUUUCAUGCAGCUUUAUCCCAGUUAGAGAAAAAUUUGACAGCAACUACAGCUUCACAUAACUAUGAGCAGAUGAUGCCAGCUGCUGAUGCCUCAGGUGUUUUGUGCUGGUGUGAUACAGGACACUCCAAAAUCCAUUUCUUAGAUUUUAAAAUAUAUUUGCAACAUUCCACUGAACCAAAAUGGUGUGGACUAAUGGCAUUUCAACAAUCUGUCAAUUGCUGUUAUGGGAUAGUGUUCUAA